GCAAUAUAUACUGUGAAACUGCGAAUGGCUCAUUAAAUCAGUUAUCGUUUAUUUGAUAGUACCUUACUACAUGGAUAACCGUGGUAAUUCUAGAGCUAAUACAUGCUAAAAACCCCGACUUCGGAAGGGGUGUAUUUAUUAGAUAAAAAACCAAUGCCCUUCGGGGCUCCUUGGUGAAUCAUAAUAACUUAACGAAUCGCAUGGCCUUGCGCCGGCGAUGGUUCAUUCAAAUUUCUGCCCUAUCAACUUUCGAUGGUAGGAUAGUGGCCUACCAUGGUAUCAACGGGUAACGGGGAAUUAGGGUUCGAUUCCGGAGAGGGAGCCUGAGAAACGGCUACCACAUCCAAGGAAGGCAGCAGGCGCGCAAAUUACCCAAUCCCGACACGGGGAGGUAGUGACAAUAAAUACUGAUACAGGGCUCUUAUGGGUCUUGUAAUUGGAAUGAGUACAAUUUAAAUCCCUUAACGAGGAACAAUUGGAGGGCAAGUCUGGUGCCAGCAGCCGCGGUAAUUCCAGCUCCAAUAGCGUAUAUUAAAGUUGUUGCAGUUAAAAAGCUCGUAGUUGAACCUUGGGCCUGGCUGGCCGGUCCGCCUCACCGCGUGUACUGGUCCGGCCGGGCCUUUCCUUCUGGGGAUCCGCAUGCCCUUCACUGGGCGUGUCGGGGAACCAGGACUUUUACUUUGAAAAAAUUAGAGUGUUCAAAGCAGGCCUUUGCUCGAAUACAUUAGCAUGGAAUAAUAGAAUAGGACGUGCGGUUCUAUUUUGUUGGUUUCUAGGACCGCCGUAAUGAUUAAUAGGGAUAGUCGGGGACAUCAGUAUUCAAUUGUCAGAGGUGAAAUUCUUGGAUUUAUUGAAGACUAACUACUGCGAAAGCAUUUGUCAAGGAUGUUUUCAUUAAUCAGUGAACGAAAGUUAGGGGAUCGAAGACGAUCAGAUACCGUCGUAGUCUUAACCAUAAACUAUGCCGACUAGGGAUCGGGCGAUGUUACUAUUUUGACUCGCUCGGCACCUUACGAGAAAUCAAA
RNAcentral lists this ribosomal RNA (1025 nucleotides) under Rupestriomyces torulosus. Its description in RNAcentral is "SSU rRNA". It matches the Rfam family "Eukaryotic small subunit ribosomal RNA", at positions 69 to 1102 of the family's 1831-position model. The record is from RNAcentral. Lineage: Eukaryota; Fungi; Ascomycota; Dothideomycetes.